GGCGCGCCCCGGGCGGGGCGGGGGCACGGGGGGAACGCGAAGAACCUUACCAAGGCUUGACAUACACCGGAAACGUCCAGAGAUGGGCGCCCCCUUGUGGUCGGUGUACAGGUGGUGCAUGGCUGUCGUCAGCUCGUGUCGUGAGAUGUUGGGUUAAGUCCCGCAACGAGCGCAACCCUUGUCCCGUGUUGCCAGCAGGCCCUUGUGGUGCUGGGGACUCACGGGAGACCGCCGGGGUCAACUCGGAGGAAGGUGGGGACGACGUCAAGUCAUCAUGCCCCUUAUGUCUUGGGCUGCACACGUGCUACAAUGGCUUGGUACAAUGAGCUGCGAUACCGCGAGGUGGAGCGAAUCUCAAAAAGCCAUCUCAGUUCGGAUUGGGGUCUGCAACUCGACCCCAUUGAAGUCGGAGUCGCUAGUAAUCG
Molecule: ribosomal RNA, 425 nt
Filed under: Streptomyces albidoflavus
Lineage: Bacteria; Bacillati; Actinomycetota; Actinomycetes; Kitasatosporales; Streptomycetaceae
Description: bacterial SSU rRNA
Rfam family: Bacterial small subunit ribosomal RNA
Source: RNAcentral